AAUUGUAACAAAGAAACAAGAACAACAGUAGACUCUCUCUCUCUCUCUCUCUUUUAUAUAAAAAUAUAUGUCUGUAAUUUGUAUAGAAACCCUCAACCUACCCUCAAACCCCACCUUAAGGUCUCAAUCAACCCCAAGAAAACCUUUCCUAUAUAUAUACACAUUGUCCCCCUCAACCUUGUUAAAUGACAAAAUUGUAACGAAGAAACAAGAACAGCAGUAGAGACUCUCUCUCUCUCUCUCUCUGUUGUUUUAUUUUUAGUUGUAAAGUCAGUGAUCAGAAGAUAUAGGUAAUAAAAGUAAGAUUAUGGAGGAUAAUAAUAAGAAGAAAAAUGGUUCUUUUCGAUCGAUUUUUAUACAUGCGGAUAGUUACGACGCUGUGUUGAUGAGUUUUGGGAUCUUGGGAGCAAUUGGUGAUGGAAUUUCCGUACAAGCUAUGCUUUUAAUGACCAGCAAACUCAUGAACAGUUUUGGCAGUGCAACCAAUUCGAUAACACAGAAUUUCAUUCAUAACACCAACGAGGUUUG
This 528-nucleotide long non-coding RNA is filed under the name Olea europaea subsp. europaea. Lineage: Eukaryota; Viridiplantae; Streptophyta; Magnoliopsida; Lamiales; Oleaceae. The record is from RNAcentral.